RNAcentral lists this unclassified non-coding RNA (889 nucleotides) under Murispora asexualis. Its description in RNAcentral is "Murispora sp. VMD-2020a sequence contains ITS1, 5.8S rRNA gene, ITS2". The stretch from base 785 to 889 matches the Rfam family "5.8S ribosomal RNA", at positions 1 to 101 of the family's 154-position model. The record is from RNAcentral. Lineage: Eukaryota; Fungi; Ascomycota; Dothideomycetes; Pleosporales; Amniculicolaceae.
ACUGCGGAGAUCAUUAUCGUAGGGGGCUCUGCCCCCGCCAGGAUGUAGGCCAGCCAAAAUUGCAGCCCUUUUCGGCGCAAAGAGAAAAGAAAAAGCCCCUGUUCUGCGUAGUGGCUCACCCCACAAUCUGCGGUUUAGGGCACUGGUUGUUGUCCUUUGGGUGCUUCUCCUGCCAGACCCGGCAGGCGUAGAACCCAAAGUGCCUUCCAGAUGUGCAUCGUUGCGGGUACCUCCCCUGCCAGACCCGGCGGGUGUUGGACCCAAGAUGCCGCCUAAUUGUGCAUGGUCAAGGGUGUCUUCCUCAUACCCGUGGGGUAUGACCCCUAGAUGACCCCCAAAUGUUUGCUGCCUACCAAGACGCUUCCCCAGCCAGACCCGGCUGGUGUGGAGUCAAGGAGGACCUGCAGAUGUGUCUUGUGCACAUAUGUGCCUUGUACAGAGCGGUUAUGGGGCAACUGCACUGGUUGCUAUUCAGCAUAAUGUACAUCAAGAGCGCUCUCCCUGCUUAACUGAGUAGCGGAAGCACCAUCUUUUUGUCCCCAGACAUGCAUGAGAUUACCUCAACCUCUUCUACUUGGGUAUGUGUCCCGCCAUAUUGGUGGGCAUAUCUCUCAUUGUAGGCCGCUUUUUGGAGCGAAUAAAGCUGUUUGGAUGGCUGGUCAUACGCUGUCCACUUAACCCUUGUGCAUGAAUACCAUUGUGUUCCUCGCUAAGCUUGGCUGGCACUGCGGACACUAUUAAACCCUUUUUUAUAUUAUUGUAACCGUACCAACCAAUUAUUCAAACUUUUCAACAACGGAUCUCCUUGGUUCUGGCAUCGAUGAAGGACGCAUCGCAAAUGCCAUAAGUAAGGGGAAUUGCAAAAAUUCAGGGAAUCCUCCCAAUCUUU